GGGGGGGCAUGCGUGCUUUACCAUGCAGUCGUACGAGAGUUUUUAACUCAAGUGGCGGACGGGUGAGUAACACGUAACCAUUUGCCUUUAGGAGGGGGAUAACAACUGGAAACGGUUGCGCCUACCCCAUAUGCUUUCGAGUGAAAUGGAUUUUCCGCCUAGAGAGAAGCUUGCGGCUGAUUAGCUUGUUGGUAAGGUAAUGGCUUACCAAGGCGACGAUCAGUAUCUGGUUUGAGAGGACGAUCAGACACACUGGAACUGAGACACGGUCCAGACUCCUACGGGAGGCAGCAGUGGGGAAUUUUCCGCAAUGGGCGAAAGCCUGACGGAGCAAUACCGCGUGAGGGAUGACGGCCUAUGGGUUGUAAACCUCUUUUUUCAGGGAGGAAGAAAGUGACGUGUACCUGAAGAAUAAGCAUCGGCUAACUCCGUGCCAGCAGCCGCGGUAAGACGGAGGAUGCAAGUGUUAUCCGGAAUCACUGGGCGUAAAGCGUCUGUAGGUGGUCAAAUAAGUCAACUGUUAAAUCUUGGGGCUCAACCUCGAAAUCGCAGUCGAAACUAUUAGACUAGAGUAUAGUAGGGGUAAAGGGAAUUUCCAGUGGAGCGGUGAAAUGCGUAGAGAUUGGAAAGAACACCGAUGGCGAAGGCACUUUACUGGGCUAUUACUAACACUCAGAGACGAAAGCUAGGGUAGCAAAUGGGAUUAGAUACCCCAGUAGUCCUAGCUGUAACCAAUGGAUACUAGAUGUUGAACAGAUCGACCUGUGCAGUAUCAAAGCUAACGCGUUAAGUAUCCCGCCUGGGAAGUAUGCUCCGAAGAAUGAAAAUUCAA
Molecule: ribosomal RNA, 832 nt
Filed under: uncultured phototrophic eukaryote
Lineage: Eukaryota
Description: bacterial SSU rRNA
Rfam family: Bacterial small subunit ribosomal RNA
Source: RNAcentral